RNAcentral lists this ribosomal RNA (437 nucleotides) under uncultured bacterium. Its description in RNAcentral is "partial 16S ribosomal RNA". It matches the Rfam family "Bacterial small subunit ribosomal RNA", at positions 29 to 507 of the family's 1533-position model. The record is from RNAcentral.
AGCGAACGCUGGCGGCAGGCUUAACACAUGCAAGUCGAGCGGGCAUCCUUGUGGUGUCAGCGGCAGACGGGUGAGUAACGCGUGGGAACGUGCCCUUCGGUUCGGAAUAACUCAGGGAAACUUGAGCUAAUACCGGAUACGUGCGAGAGCAGAAAGGUUUAUCUGCCGAAGGAUCGGCCCGCGUCUGAUUAGCUAGUUGGUGAGGUUACGGCUCACCAAGGCGACGAUCAGUAGCUGGUCUGAGAGGAUGAUCAGCCACACUGGGACUGAGACACGGCCCAGAAUCCUACGGGAGGCAGCAGUGGGGAAUAUUGGACAAUGGGGGCAACCCUGAUGCAGCCAUGCCGCGUGAGUGAUGACGGCCUUAGGGUUGUAAAGCUCUUUUCUCCGGGACGAUAAUGACGGUACCGGAGGAAUAAGCCCCGGCUAACUUCGUG